Molecule: non-coding RNA, 4171 nt
Organism: Chlorocebus sabaeus (green monkey)
Lineage: Eukaryota; Metazoa; Chordata; Mammalia; Primates; Cercopithecidae
Source: RefSeq, a predicted model, not a curated record
UUGAGGAUUAAAUUUUUCAAGGCGCUUUUCCAAAGAGUUUGUGGGGGUGGAGUGGGAAGCUGUGAGACCUCCGCGGGAGGAGACGUUCCUGAACGCUAUUGAAAUUGGACGCUUGCCUUAGGAGGUGGAUAGGUGACUUGAAGGAGUCCUUUGCAGUUUGGGGUAGCAACAACAAAUCAGGAGCUCCUCCAUUCCCCUCCAGCAUGAAACCUUGGGUGAAGUUAAUCUUCAUUUAUCAUUUCUGUCUCUCCUAAUCGAUCUCUCGCCCAGUGUCUCUCCUUGUUCCUCUCCCUCCCUUUCUCUCUCUGGUCCUCUCCCCUUUUUCCCCUGUCCACCUCUUCCCCCAUGUCUAUACAUCUUCCUUUUAUACAUAUCUAUACAUCCUCCUUUUAGAAUGGAAAGACCAAUUUCGUUCCCUCUUGUACUAAAUAAAUAAAUAAUUGGAUCUCUACAAAGAAAAAGAGACCAAAGACAAGAACAAUGGAGGGUCCCAGGGUGACAAAGGCCCAGCCCUGUCAUUAUCUUAUGAGCUCUUCCCCCACAGUGCUCAGGCUGUGGCUACACUCAACCUUGUUUACAGGAAACCGCGCCAUAAUCGUCACUUGCUGUUUCCUUUCUCCUGUAUCACCUCCUUCUAGUGUCUGCGUUGACACUCACGAACAGGAUCUCUGAUUUCGUUGAAAAAUUGAAGGAAACAAAACGAAUCCUGCAGGUUUACAUCCGUUCCUUAAAUACUUGCAGAGACCUUGACUCUGAAAUUAGAGCUGGGUUCGGCAUCAAAUGCAAUUCUUGAGGUCCCAGGUCUGCAGUUCUGGUUAGUGCAAUGUUACAGCGGAGCCUGGACUGACUAGUUUGUGUAGCACUUUUUACUCAGCUUUAUCAUCUGGAGAGUGGAGAGGGGAAGAUAAGAAAGAAUGUCUUUUUGGAAAGGAUUUAAAAAAUAUGUUUUAUUCUUGGUUCUCUUCUUUUUUCCCUCUCAUUACAGUUGGAGAAACUUGUUCAGUGCCGAAUGGCUAGGGGGCGCCAAAGCGCCAGACGUCCAGCCCGGCCUCAGGGACCACCGGACAAAUGCAAGGACUAAGUCACACUGCAACUUUCAAAGACUAUUCCAAUAACAAUGUUUUAUAUAGAUUGCCAUCACCUUUAUCAUGACAUCUUGCAACAGCAGAGUAAAUUUGAGGCAGUGACACGGGGAGAAUUGUGUUUUGUUAUUUAGCCAGUUUUAUUUGAUAACUGCAAGCUCCCUGCCCCUUCCGGAACAUAAUUGUUACAGGAAGGAUUUGGACUGGAUAAAACUUAAUUUUGUGACAUGCUCGUUAAUUCUGUUAAACUUCCAAUUCAUCUGGUGUUUGUGGUUUUUAAUAUAAACUAGUGUUUAGUGAGAAAGAUAUUUUACCCCCUGUGAAGGUGCUUGGCAUACAAUUGCUAAUCAUUGCAAAAGUAGCAAAUAACCAUCCGAAUAGAGGUCAGGAGGCUGCAUAGAUCUCUUUUCACUAACAGAGUCCUGCUGACCUGAUUAUAAUUAGUGUUUCCUGGGGUCAGCCUCGUUAUUUUCACCAGGUGACCUAAACCACUCAUUUCUUUGAGCCCACUCCUGAUGCUAAAGGACACCUUGUCGCUGCGUGAUACUGGCUCCCUUGCUUUUCUUCUGCUCAGGCCCUGGCUGGACAAGCGACCCGAGGGUCUCUCUCCUUCUGACAGCAGUAGUGUUUCUCAGUGUCCUCUGGGAUGUGGCUGUCAGGCUUACUGACUACCAAUAGUCUUAGAACAGAAAGAGCCAAACUUCUAAAGGCAAGCAAUGUUGGGGACCCAGUUGCUAGGAGUCAGUGGCUCUCAGCCUAUAAACUUCAGUUUUUCUUCCCCUUAGGGGAAGCAUUGGUGGGGACAGGAAACCUAAUUUUCUCUCCAUCAGAUCGCCUGCUGGGUGAGCCUCCUGGAAUUACAUAUACUAGGCUUGGGGAUGCAAUGGGGACCAUCAACUGCUAACAUCACGGUGGCUAACAAAACUGCACAUGACUUUUACUCACAAAUAACAUCAUUAAGAGUUCAUCUGUCCACUUAGUCCAUAAAUGAUUACUAAGCACCUCCAUGUGCCAGCUGCAGGGUUUCACAGACUGGCUGGAGUGACUCACCAGAGACCAGACAGUGGUAGGCAGUGUGACAGCAAAGAAAACAGAGGGGUUCACCGGGUGCAUUUAUAACCCUGCUGGAGGGAUGGCAAACCUGUCCGUGUGGUCAGAAAAAACUUCUAAGAGGUGGUGGCAUUUGAAUUGAGUCUUAAACAAUGUGGGAGAGUCCAGCUGAGAGAUGCAGGCAAGAAGAAAGUGUGGGCUUUCACGGAGAGUUUUUCUGUGUGCCUGGAGGGGUGAGGGGGAGGGCUCAGAGGGAUGGUAUUGGCAUUGUGCAUGUGACCUGUGGAAGGCAUAAUUCUGAGAUUUGGAAGAGAAGAGAAGGUCGAAACUUCAGAACAGUGAGAGAGACUGGGGACUUCAAUCACAGUAGACUAGAGUUUAUUCUAGCAGUUCUCCUCUCAAUAGCUUUCUGACAUUGGACAAGUUCUGCAACUCAAUUCUAGGACCAGGGAAAGAAGAGUUUGGAGACACACAGGCACAAGAAGAAACAAGGCCAUGUGCAGAUGGAGGCAGAAGUUGGGAUGAUACAGCUACAAGCCAAGGCAUGCCAAGGACUUCCAACAAUCACCCAAAGCCAGGAAGAGUCGAGGAUGGAUUCUUCCCUAGAACCUUUAAAAGCAGCACAGUCCUGCCAACACCUGCAUUUCAGACCUAUAUCCUCCAGAACUGUGAGAGAGUAAAUUUCUGUUCUUUUAAGUCACCCAGUUUGGGGUAAUUUGUUAUGACAGCCCUAAGAAAUUAGUGCAUGUAGUAAUUAUCACCACAAUCAAGAUAUAAAAUAGUUCCAUCACCCCCAAAACCUCUCUUAUGUUGACCCAUUUCAAUCACAUCCUACCUCUCCCCUAAGUCUCAUUAACAAGUGAUCUGUUCUGUCUCACCAUAGUUUCAUGAUGGUCUUAAAACGUCAUGAAAAUGGAAUCAUACCAUCAUGAAAAUAGAAUCAUACAGUACCUUCGAGACUGCCUUUUAUUUUGAUUCAGCAUAAUGCCUUUGAGAGUCAUUACAUUGACACAUAUAUCAGUGAUUAAUUCCUUUUUAUGACUGACUAGUGUUCUGUUUCAUAAAAAUAUCAUAGUUUGUUUAUCCAUUCACCUACUGAAGAACAUUUGGGUUAUUUUCAGUGUUCAGUAAUUAUGGAAAAGCUACUAUAAACAUUUGUGUGCAGGUUUUUUUGUGUGUGCAAACAUAAGGUUCCACUUUCCAAGGUAAAUAUCUAGGAAUGCAAUUGCUGGGUUGUAUGGUGAGUGUAUGUUUAGCUUUAUAAGAAACCACCAAAUCAUUUCUCAGAAUAUGUACCAUUUGCAUUCACAGGAAUAUAUGGGAGUUUUAGUUGCUCUGUAUUUUCCUCAGCACUUAGUAUUGUCAAAUUUUUUGUUUGUUUUUUAGCCAUUCUGAUAAGUAUGUAGAGGCAUCUCACUGCAGUUUCAGUUUUCAUUACUGUAAUGGUAAUGAAUUUUAACAACUUUUCAUGUGCUUAUUUGCCAUUUGUAUAUUCUCUUUGGUGAAGUGUCUGUUCAUAUCUUUUAACUGAUUUUAAUUGAACAUUUUCCCCUUUACUCUUUUGAGUGUUAGUUAUAUAUUCUGCAUACAAAUGCUUUGUCACAUAUGUGAUUUGCAAAUACUUUCAGUCUGUAGCUUGUCUUUUCAGGCUCUUAACAGUGUCUUUUAAGAAGUAAAACUUUUGAAUUUGAUUUAAUUUAACAUUAUUUUCUUUUGUGGAUCAUGCUUUUGGUGUUAUCUCUAAGUUCAGAUCAUAGAAUUUGCCUCCUACAUUUUCUUCUAAUAGUUUUAUAAUUUUACAUUUUAUGUUUAGACCUAGGAGUCUUUUGAGUUAACUUCUAUAAGGUAUAAAGUUUUUGUCAGGGUUGUUUUUUGCGUAUAGAUGUCUAUUUGUUCCAAUAUAAUUUAUUGAAAGACUAUCAUUCCCCAUUCAAUUUCUUUUGAGCCUUUCAUCAAUAAUAAAAUUGUCAUAUUUGUGUGAGUUUAUUUCUGGGCCCUAUUCUGUUCCAUUGAUUUAUUUAUCUGUCCUUUUAUCAAUA